GUAGAAGUGUUUAGAAACAUAUUAUAUUCUUAUUUACAAUAAAAGUGACCCCAAAAUGAGAAAAAACAUUAUUUACCAUUCAUUUCUAUGGGGCACAAAAUGAUCUGAAACAUAACCACAGCAAACGGAUCCAACAAAUUUGUUGAGGCACAAACUUGACAUUGUAAUUUCAUGCAAUGAACGUGGGACCAAAUACUUAACUGUUUAAUACACAUAAGUGACUUGUCCCAAUACUUUUGAUUUCAAAUCCAACGUUCUGAAGUAUAGAGCCAAAAUAAGAAAUAAUGCUUCACUGUCCCAAUAAUUAUGGAGGGCACUGUAUGUACAGUAUACUGAGAAGGCACAGAAGGGGGGAUAGGACAGUCAAUCAUAGACCAUUGGCAUCCUUGAAGAGGUGUGUUUUUAGGAAGUUUUUGAAUGAAAUGAAUGCAUUUGCAUGUGUGGGGGGAGUGCAUUCCAGUUGCCUGGUGGCAAAGCAGCUGAAGGACCGGGCACCCACGGUGGAGAGGCAGAAUGGGGGAGUGACAAGGAGACCAGCAGAGUUGAAGCGGAGGGAGCAGGAGGGGGAUAGGCUGGGAGAAGGUCAGAGAGGCAGGUGCGUGGUUGGUUGUGGAGGGCUUUGUAGGUGAGGAAAGGUCGCUGGUUGGAAUACCCGAGCCGACAAGGUGAAAAACCUGUCGAUGUGCCCUUGAUGCCAAGCUCUGACAAUUGUUCGUUCUGAUAUUUUUACAUUUCUUUCUAUUUACUUUUGGAUUAUGUGUGUAUUGUUUUGUAUUGUUUUCUAGGUAUUAUUCCUGCACUGUUGGAGAUAGAAACACCAGCGAUAACAUCUGCAGAUCUGUGUACGCGACCAAUAACCUGAUUUGAUUUGAGCACUUAAACCUAAUUUUAUCCCAGGGGUGCAGUACUACUAUGGCUGACCCUGUAAAACAAACAGCAAAUUUCACUGCACCUAUCCGGUGUAUGUGAAAAUCUAAAUAAAUAAAACAUUGCCUAUUUUAGCCUAUGCAAAAAAACAGACACGAAAAAUAACUCAACAUAGCUACACAUCAACAUACAGUAUGCUGACUUAAAUUGUUUACCUUCGUGCAGAAUCAGGAGCAUCGUGUGACGUGGGAUUCUGUUGGCAGAGCACUGCCCAUGAGCAAGCAGACUUCUCUUGAACCUCCACUAUCCCAGAAACCCUCUCGCUGGAAGUCCAUUUGUUCACGAUAGACCCGCGCAACGGAAAGGCAGUUAACAUGUCUGACAAGAAACAGACUGUAGAUUUGGGAUUAUUAGAGGAGGACGAUGAGUUUGAAGAAUUCCCAGCCGAGGAUUGGACUGGGUUGGAUGAGGAUGAAGAUGCCCACGUGUGGGAAGACAACUGGGAUGAUGACAAUGUAGAGGACGACUUCUCUAAUCAACUAAGAGCGGAGCUGGAGAAACAUGGGUACAAGAUGGAGACGUCUCAGUAGCAGCCGAGUCCACACGGCUGUUGAGAUCGGAUAGGGAUGGACUUGAAUUUAUAACAUCAUACUUGAAAUGGAGGAUGUUUAACUUGCUAAACUCGCACACAUUUUUGUACGAAACCUUAGCACGAGUAAAGUGUUUCACGAGUAAAUUCCCCGCUCAGAGUUAUGUAGACAUUAAAGAUGGUUAUUUUCAAGUAUCUGUCCACAUACUCUUAUUUAUGCACAUUUUCCAUCUUUAUAUAUAAUCAGCUGGUCAGUUACUGCUUUAAUAUAAAUCCAUAUUUUACAGGUUUUGUGUUUUUACUAUAAUGACCACUUUGGUCCAGGGCUUUGGUUUAACAUCCAUUUAAAUACCACUUUUUGUUAGAGCCAUUGAUUUAAAUGUAGCUUUACUGCCUGCGCAACACUUAACCUACGUUUUAAUGGUCCAGUAAUUAUUGGCCUGUGUGACACACUCCAUCUAUUUUAAUCCACAAUAUGAAUGUUGCAUGAUGUUAGUAAAGAGUCAAGUGCUGCACUGCACAUUUUUCCAUUGUAAUGCUCUUAGUUUGAAAACUACCACCCAUUUUUCACAUGGUCACUCUCCAAUAUUAAACCAUUCAAUGAACAGGUGUGUGUCAGUCAGAAGUGGAUGGGGAGACACACACACACGCAGCGAGAUGUGUGCAUAAAUUGUGUGUACAGUGUGUGGGUGUGUGUGUGUAGGAUGAUCCACACACAGGGAUGCGUGUUCCCCUCUGCUGUCUACAUUCCCUCUGAGCUCAUGGCGUUGGGGCUGGGUCUCAGUCUGAAGGAGAGAUUAUCCACUGCCGUGUUUGUCAGGGGCAGGGAGGUGGUCUCAGCAUGGGGGCCCCUGCCCUGCCUGGGCCUGCCCUACUCCCGACCAGGCCCUGCUUUUCCGGCUCUGCACAGCAGGGACCCCUGCACUGAACCGAGGCCAAUUUAGCCCAGCCACACUCGCCCCUGCAUUUGUGGACUCUCAGUCCCUCUGUCUUAAAGAGAAGAAAUGGAUGCCAGUAAAACCUGCUGUAUAAGAGCUGCUUCCUCUCCUCCAGUGUUGCUCCCUCUGCUCUUUAUAUGUUGCUGGUAGACCUGCGUUAGCUUCUGUGGGAAUAGCAGUUAGGAAAGUUUUCUGCACAUACUGUUUUCCAGUGUUUCUCUACAUAUUAUGGUUGUAUUAUUAGAUACAAUCCUGAUUUCCUGUUCAAAACAAAAUGGGUUGAUUUAUCUCGUCUAUCCUCCACCACUAUAGGCAAAACAGACCAUCCUGUCAUCUGUCUUUUCCAGAUGAUUUUACAUCUAUGAUCUAUUGCUCAUGGCUGUCGUUCGUAAUGGUGUCUUUUUAAGGUAUGUUCUCUGAUAUUUGUGAAGUUGCACAGGUGUAAGUCCUCAAGAUGAGGGUAUCUCUCCAGAGGGUAUAACUCCCUCUUCACCAGUGAUUAUGCCAAACACUCGUCUGCAGACCACAAUCCAACCGCUCCCUUGUGUGUAAAGCCCUUAUGACACGUUCUGAUCUCUCCAACUGUUCAGAAUGGAAUUUCAAUUAGUCCAAAAUGAACAUUUGGUGUCUUUAGACUUUAUAGACCCCAUUUGAACUUGCAGUUGUGGGUUCUACUAGUGAAAUAUAAAAUGUAUACAUUUUGACACAUUAUUAAAUGGAGGAUGUGGGACUAAGAUUGACACAAUACACAAAGAUGCUCACGUUUACUUAUGCCGUUAAGCUAAGUGCCAAGAGCCGGAUCAUUAUUUUAAUUGUUGGAAAGGCAACGGAGUGAGAGAAUCGGUAAGUGUGAGAAAUGGAGAACACAGCCAUUUUGUUUGUGCUGAGAGCGGCAGGUUGUCUCCCUGUGUUGGGGUUUGAGCAGGGCCUCUGUGCCCCCCCCCAAUUGCUUUUCAUUUGCCUAACUUUUGUCAUUCAUUUAUGAGCCACAUAAUUCACCUUGACAUGGGCAGUCUGCCCACUUUUACCAAUAUUAAUGUGUCAACAAUCACAUUUCUAGUUUGAACUGAACCCCAAUGAGGAUGUAUUUUUGGAAGGUAACAGGAUUUCAAUUUGGAACACUGUUUCAUCAAUAGACUGCUACAGUUGCUUUUGUCCACUUUGUCAAAAUAAAAAGCAUCUGUACAUGAAACCCUGGAUCAUGGUUUGACCAUUGUCUUAUGUGCUGGCAAUAUAACCAGCAAGAGGUCUAUAAAAACAGUAAAAAUACUACUGAAUACAAUACAUUUUGUACAUUACAGCUCUAUUGUUCCUCUGGCCUGGUGGCUGUGGGCGAUGUAUGGC
RNAcentral lists this long non-coding RNA (3738 nucleotides) under Salmo salar (Atlantic salmon). RNAcentral's name for it is "lncRNA (ENSSSAG00000088296.1)". Lineage: Eukaryota; Metazoa; Chordata; Actinopteri; Salmoniformes; Salmonidae. The record is from RNAcentral.